UUUCUUCUUGCCUUCCUCAAUCAUCUGCUUCAUCAUCAAUAUCAUCAUUGUCGUCUUCUUCUUCUUCCUCUUUUUUCCAUGAUGCAAUUCACCAAUCUGAGAUUGAAGGGUUGGACAAUAUUAAGGAAAAAUAUGAAAGAAACAAGAGCCCCAUUUCAAGUUACAAUCCAAAUACUAAUAGCUGCAGCCACAAGAAACAAGACAGGCAUAGUGAUAGCUUUUCAUCAAGAACAUCUGAUAGUCUAUCGAUGUGCACAGAAGGCCUUGGAUUCGAGAGCUCUGAUGACGUUGAGGACCUAAUGAACGAUUUGAGUAUCGAGAAUCAGAAAAAACAACAAGAAGAAAAAGGGAGAACGCGCGUUCCCUGUAGGCCUGAGAAUCAAGUAAUAAUUAAUCAUGAUUAUUCAAAGAGAUCAAGAACAAACAAAGGGUCAUUUCCACCUCCCAUUUCUUGUAUAGGGAGAAGUGGGAAGCCUUGGGUUUGCUUUAAAUCAUUCAGAGAAGAUGGAAGGUUUAUUCUUAAAGAAAUUAGAAUUCCUACACAAGAAUUCUUGCAUGCAUGCAGAGAAGGUGGACGUUUAAUGAUGCAUGUUAUUCAUUCAGAUGAUGAGAUUGUAGAUGAAGGUGAAGAUGAAGAUGAAGAGGAAUACGAAGACGACGAUGAUGAUGUUGAUGAUACACAUAAUGUUGAAGAAGAACAUGAUGCAAAGCAUGUAUAGGAGUUGAACAUCGUUAAAACAUAUAUUGCAUGAAAGCUCUUUAAUUUUGUUUCAUAGUUUUUACUUUUUUGGUUUUUCCUUUGUCUGCUAUAUUCCAAAGUUGCAGGAAACCUGCAAGAUAUAGUUUAAAAGUUUUGUUUUUCUUCUUCUCUGCAGAUUCUGCAAAUAAAAGAGAAACUGCAAAAGGAAUUCUUUAUUCCAUAUUUUGAUGCAUUUUACUAUAGGAUUUUUUAUUUUUCACUUGCUACAUCCUACGUCACCCUCCUCGGCCCUUCCUGAACCAUACGGAAAUACGGGAUGCUCUGUAAAACAAGCUACCACUUGCAAACUUGUCACUACUUGUUUGGAUUAAAAAAUACCCGAAUACUGGUAGCGAGUGUCUUUAUUAUACGGACCAACUGUAAAAACAAAAAAAAUACUAUUAAUGUAGUAACUUGUUAUAGUAGCAAAUAACUUAACUACAGUUGCAGGGUUCGUUUUAUAACCGGAAUUAUUUAUCCUACUUUCAACAUGGGAUAAAUAUUCCUUGAUUGUGGUAUAAAACUUAUUCUGAUUUUAACUAAUACCCUCGACCAAAUAUAUGAUACAUUUUACACCAAAUUUUAUACCGGGGUAACCUACUUAAUCCCUCUAAUUAAAAGGCUCCUAAAUAUUUUUACUCCAUCUGUACAUAGAACUUAAAAAGAAAAAGAAGCAGCCCAGUGCACUAAGCUCCCACUAUAUGUUGGAGUCCAGGGAAAAGCCAGAUCAAGGGUCUAUUAUAUGCAGUCUUACCUUGCAUUUCUGCAAGAGGUUGUUUUCACGGCUUGAAUCCGUGACCUCCUAAUCACAUAACAGUAGCUUUACCAGUUACGCCAAAUCUCCCGUCAAUUGGGGUUUUCGGGGGGAGGGGGUUGGUGGUCUGGGAGAUAGGACAAGAGAGGUAGCUCAAAGACACAAUAAUCCUAUGUUCGGAUGAAGAUAGAUUGCAAAAUAUCUCCAACUUUUUGUAGCCGAAAGUAUUCAUAAAUGACCUAAAGAAGCCACCUAUAUUCUAAUUUCUAUAGACACAUGUAACAGUUUGAAUCACUAACUAGACAUCCUCAAAAACCUACCAAUGUCCUUAGGACCAAGAGAAGAGACACUCUAAGAAAGAACCAACGUGAGUUUACCAAAUACAAAUAUCAGUUUAUCUCAACAUCACAACGUAAAAUGGAGAAAAGUUGACAUUUGUAGAUUCAAAACUCCUUCAAAUCAGUAUAACAAACAGGACGCUUUUCCUGUGAUAAGAUUCUGUACAAUAGGGAUGCCCUUUUCAAGCGAAGAAUAUGGAGUAGAUGAGAAAAAGAUAACAAAACACAGAACCAUAUAGAACAUAAUCAUCACCAAGGGCAACCCACAAAAGAGGAAAUUUUACAAUGCCUCAUAGGCCACAGAAACUCCUUUUUUAAAGGAAUAAAUAAUUAAACUAAUACUAAUACUAACAAUAAUAAUGGGGUUUGACCAAAGAUCAGAUAUAUGCUACCCCAGGUAACACAAGUGUAGAAUCACUUUUCC
This 2255-nucleotide long non-coding RNA is filed under the name Nicotiana benthamiana. Its description in RNAcentral is "long non-coding RNA (NBEN_LNC036873)". The record is from RNAcentral. Lineage: Eukaryota; Viridiplantae; Streptophyta; Magnoliopsida; Solanales; Solanaceae.